GCCGCCGCCCCAUCCAGCGAGCCAACACCUCCGCCACCGGUCUUCCAUUGCCUAGCAUCCUCCACCGAGCCUUCUAGAAUGCAACUCCAUCAUGAGCAGCUCUGCUCAUCUAGGUGGUUGCUUUGUAUACAUCAGGAAGCAGCUCCAUUGUUUGCAUCUGGAGUAUUUUUUAGGCUACAGAUGAUCUCCAUAGGAUACUGAAUGAGGUAAUGCACUAGUGUGGUUUAAGUUGUUUCCAAGUUUUUCAGUUUGGCAUGAUGCUGAUGCUUAGAUUAGCGAGCCCCUUUCCAGGCCACAAACCCCAAAAGGCAGCUGGUAACGUCCUUUUUUGCCUAAAAAUUACAGUUAUGUGAUGGCAUGGUGCUGGUGCUUAUGUGAGGAUGAACCCAGCUGAUGUGUUAGAGAGACAGAGAGGAAAAAGACUGUCGUUUGUUGGUGAUUCACUCAACAUAGAACAUGUGGGAAUCACUUGUUUUGUAUCGUGAGGAAUUCUAUCAAAGACGAGAGAAAGCUGUUCGAGGUAUCCGGCAACCGCAAAUUCAGGGAUGAGGUCUCCUACUCUUUCUUGUUUCAGAUAUCUGACUGGUACUUUCCUUGGAUCUUUUGUAUGGCCAGCUGUUUUGAUUACUGAUGUGCCUUAAGCAAUGGGGUCUACAAAAGGCAGAAAUAUCAAGAUUUUCAUUGGUACGUGUUGGAAUAGCUACAAAAAAAACAAAUCAUUACUUUAUUUACAGGUUAUUUUACAUGCAUUAUAUGUCAAAACCUCCUGGUUGAAGCAGCCAUCCUGCUUUAUGCUGAUUAAAUGGUGAAAGUUCUAACAAGUGAUGUUGUGGUCGUACCGUAUUACUGCCUGAUGAUGUAGCUAUUUGAGUGCUAUAGCUUCUAAUAAUGGAGCAGGUGAAAUCUUGAUCUAUCAUCACUAAUCUUUUAUCCUGUAUUGCUAAUGACAAGCUAACCUUUUUAUCUUCAUGAAUUUUAGUACUGGGCUUAACGGCAUGUUUUUUUGGGGUAAAAGUAUCGAAUAGAACAGGAACUUGGGGACCAAGAUAAAACCUAUAUCUCCUCAGAUAGACCGGAUGAUAUAUUUCCAAUGGUUAUCUGGCAGAUUAAUCUUGUAUGCCCAACUGAAAGUAACAGAGACAACUUGCGUAAAGUAGCAGCUCAUCAGGUACCUUUGCUCAUUAUUAGGUUCUUUUGCAUCAUUCGAGCUAUUAAAAAUUUAAAUAGAAAAUGGCUUUCCAAUCACAGACCAUUUCAUAUAGCGGAUAUAGAGACUGAAACAGGAUCACAUUCGCAUUGUUUCUCAAUUUAGGGAAGAUCACCUAGGAAAAGAAAGAAGAUAUCACACCUAGGUAUACCCUCUCAUGCAG
Lolium rigidum is the source of this 1370-nucleotide long non-coding RNA. RefSeq lists it as uncharacterized. Lineage: Eukaryota; Viridiplantae; Streptophyta; Magnoliopsida; Poales; Poaceae. The record is from RefSeq and is a predicted model, not a curated record. The transcript is spliced from 3 exons.